This 440-nucleotide ribosomal RNA is filed under the name uncultured bacterium. Its description in RNAcentral is "partial 16S ribosomal RNA". It matches the Rfam family "Bacterial small subunit ribosomal RNA", at positions 338 to 795 of the family's 1533-position model. The record is from RNAcentral.
CCUACGGGUGGCAGCAGUAGGGAAUAUUGCUCACUGGGGGAAACCCUGAAGCAGCAACGCCGCGUGGAGGAUGAAGGUUUUCGGAUUGUAAACUCCUUUUGUUAGAGAAGAUAAUGACGGUAUCUACCGACUACGCACCGGCUAACUCCGUGCCAGCCGCCGCGGUCAUACGGAGGGUGCAAGCGUUACUCGGAAUCACUGGGCGUAAAGAGCGCGUAGGCGGGAUAGCAAGUCAGAUGUGAAAUCCUAUGGCUUAACCAUAGAACUGCAUUUGAAACUGUUAUUCUAGAGUAUGGGAGAGGUAGGUGGAAUGCUUGGUGUAGGGGUAAAAUGCGUAGAGAUCAAGAGGAAUACUCAUUGCGAAGGCGACCUGCUAGAACAUAACUGACGCUGAUGCGCGAAAGCGUGGGGAGCAAACAGGAUUAGAUACCCGAGUAGUC